UGGGGAAUAUUGGACAAUGGGCGCAAGCCUGAUCCAGCCAUGCCGCGUGAGUGAUGAAGGCCCUAGGGUUGUAAAGCUCUUUCACCGGUGAAGAUAAUGACGGUAACCGGAGAAGAAGCCCCGGAUAACUUCGUGCCAGCAGCCGCGGUAAUACGAAGGGGGCUAGCGUUGUUCGGAUUUACUGGGCGUAAAGCGCACGUAGGCGGACUUUUAAGUCAGGGGUGAAAUCCCGGGGCUCAACCCCGGAACUGCCAUUGAUACUGGAAGUCUUGAGUAUGGUAGAGGUGAGUGGAAUUCCGAGUGUAGAGGUGAAAUUCGUAGAUAUUCGGAGGAACACCAGUGGCGAAGGCGGCUCACUGGACCAUUACUGACGCUGAGGUGCGAAAGCGUGGGGAGCAAACAGG
RNAcentral lists this ribosomal RNA (404 nucleotides) under Actinomycetes bacterium. RNAcentral describes it as "Actinobacteria bacterium partial 16S ribosomal RNA". It matches the Rfam family "Bacterial small subunit ribosomal RNA", at positions 355 to 776 of the family's 1533-position model. The record is from RNAcentral. Lineage: Bacteria; Bacillati; Actinomycetota; Actinomycetes.